Molecule: ribosomal RNA, 520 nt
Filed under: uncultured bacterium
Lineage: Bacteria
Description: partial 16S ribosomal RNA
Rfam family: Bacterial small subunit ribosomal RNA
Source: RNAcentral
GACGAACGCUGGCGGCGUGCCUAAUACAUGCAAGUCGAACGCACUCUCGUUUAGAUUGAAGGAGUUUGCUCCUGAUUGAUAAACAUUUGAGUGAGUGGCGGACGGGUGAGUAACACGUGGGUAACCUGCCCUAAAGUGGGGGAUAACAUUUGGAAACAGAUGCUAAUACCGCAUAAAACCUAACACCGCAUGGUGUAGGGUUGAAAGAUGGUUUCGGCUAUCACUUUAGGAUGGACCCGCGGUGCAUUAGUUAGUUGGUGAGGUAAAGGCUCACCAAGACCGUGAUGCAUAGCCGACCUGAGAGGGUAAUCGGCCACACUGGGACUGAGACACGGCCCAGACUCCUACGGGAGGCAGCAGUAGGGAAUCUUCCACAAUGGACGAAAGUCUGAUGGAGCAACGCCGCGUGAGUGAAGAAGGUUUUCGGAUCGUAAAACUCUGUUGUUGGAGAAGAAUGUAUCUGAUAGUAACUGAUCAGGUAGUGACGGUAUCCAACCAGAAAGCCACGGCUAACUACGUG